GCCCUCUGCCAGAGGCAGGCGCAGAGCCUGGCUGAGCUGUUUAGGUCUCAGGGGAUGGUGUGAGAGAGAGCUGUGUGCAGGAGACAUCAUGUAGCCGCCAUCGAAAGGUGCUGGACCUCUCUUCCACAGGGGACACUGCAGAGCUGUACACAGCAGAAUGGCCAUUUAGUGACACAAUCAGGAUUUGAAGUCAGCUCUGACACAAAUGUCUCUUCUUGGGAAAAGGCAGAGGAAGAGUAUGCGGGACCUCAGAGGCCAAGCUCAAACGUCCAGAUCUGACGUGGAAGAGUGUCCUGUGAUCUAGAACAAUGUCCAAAUCCUGCUUUCAGAGUCCCGCCAAGGUG
Molossus molossus (Pallas's mastiff bat) is the source of this 344-nucleotide long non-coding RNA. RefSeq lists it as uncharacterized. The transcript has 2 exons. NCBI's taxonomy places the organism in Eukaryota, Metazoa, Chordata, Mammalia, Chiroptera, Molossidae. The record is from RefSeq and is a predicted model, not a curated record.